AUUCCAUGAUGUGGACAUCUCCUUUGAAGAUCCUUUUAUCUCUCCCAUGCCUCAUAUAGACUCUUAUCAUCCCUUGGUCUAAAAGAAGUUAAUUUAUUCCUAAAUUU
Molecule: small nucleolar RNA, 107 nt
Organism: Hevea brasiliensis (rubber tree)
Lineage: Eukaryota; Viridiplantae; Streptophyta; Magnoliopsida; Malpighiales; Euphorbiaceae
Source: RefSeq, a predicted model, not a curated record